GGAAAGCAAGGCUAGGGCGGAUUUGCUAUUUGGAGCGAAGACUGAAGCUGAUUGGGUUACAGUGAAGUCGUUAAAUUACAUAUUUAUCGAGCAAAUUUAUCAUGCAAACCCGGUAAAGGCUGGUUCUAGAAUAGGGAGGCCCAUUACAGAUACCAUCUCUAUCGCUCUUCCUCUUCUGAUAUCUUUCUCUGUCUAGAUUUGGCCACCGAAACCCCGCAUUCCAUGGGGUCUAUGCUCGGUGACUGGCCUUCCUUUGACCCUCACAACUUUAGCCAACUUAGACC
RNAcentral lists this unclassified non-coding RNA (284 nucleotides) under Hevea brasiliensis (rubber tree). The record is from RNAcentral. Lineage: Eukaryota; Viridiplantae; Streptophyta; Magnoliopsida; Malpighiales; Euphorbiaceae.